AAGUCUUAAGUUAACAAAACUAGUAACCUUCAAAGUUAAAAAUAUUUUAUUAGACUUU
RNAcentral lists this transfer RNA (58 nucleotides) under Diaphorina lycii. RNAcentral describes it as "tRNA-Trp". Lineage: Eukaryota; Metazoa; Arthropoda; Insecta; Hemiptera; Psyllidae. The record is from RNAcentral.